UCGUGUGUAGAGUCGGUGGGGCGGGCUUAACAUGGCUGCUGCUGGAGAACAGCGGCCUUUGGAAUCGGCUUUGGCCGAGACUGUGGAAGACUUGGAGUUAAGCUCUGAAGUCAUUCUUAAAAA
Molecule: long non-coding RNA, 123 nt
Organism: Etheostoma cragini (Arkansas darter)
Lineage: Eukaryota; Metazoa; Chordata; Actinopteri; Perciformes; Percidae
Exons: 2
Source: RefSeq, a predicted model, not a curated record